This 695-nucleotide ribosomal RNA is filed under the name uncultured bacterium. Its description in RNAcentral is "bacterial SSU rRNA". It matches the Rfam family "Bacterial small subunit ribosomal RNA", at positions 33 to 715 of the family's 1533-position model. The record is from RNAcentral.
ACGCUAGCUACAGGCUUAACACAUGCAAGUCGAGGGGCAGCAUGGUCUUAGCUUGCUGAGGCUGAUGGCGACCGGCGCACGGGUGAGUAACACGUAUCCAACCUGCCGUCUACUCUUGGCCAGCCUUCUGAAAGGAAGAUUAAUCCAGGAUGGCAUCAUGAGUUCACAUGUCCGCAUGAUUAAAGGUAUUUUCCGGUAGACGAUGGGGAUGCGUUCCAUUAGAUAGUAGGCGGGGUAACGGCCCACCAAGCCUUCGAUGGAUAGGGGUUCUGAGAGGAAGGUCCCCCACAUUGGAACUGAGACACGGUCCAAACUCCUACGGGAGGCAGCAGUGAGGAAUAUUGGUCAAUGGACGAGAGUCUGAACCAGCCAAGUAGCGUGAAGGAUGACUGCCCUAUGGGUUGUAAACUUCUUUUAUACGGGAAUAAAGUGAGGCACGUGUGCCUUUUUGUAUGUACCGUAUGAAUAAGGAUCGGCUAACUCCGUGCCAGCAGCCGCGGUAAUACGGAGGAUCCGAGCGUUAUCCGGAUUUAUUGGGUUUAAAGGGAGCGUAGGCGGACGCUUAAGUCAGUUGUGAAAGUUUGCGGCUCAACCGUAAAAUUGCAGUUGAUACUGGUAGUCUUGAGUGCAGCAGAGGUAGGCGGAAUUCGUGGUGUAGCGGUGAAAUGCUUAGAUAUCACGAAGAACUCCGAUUG